Molecule: small nucleolar RNA, 88 nt
Filed under: Nomascus leucogenys (northern white-cheeked gibbon)
Lineage: Eukaryota; Metazoa; Chordata; Mammalia; Primates; Hylobatidae
Description: Small nucleolar RNA U3
Rfam family: Small nucleolar RNA U3
About the family: Small nucleolar RNAs (snoRNAs) are involved in the processing and modification of rRNA in the nucleolus.
Source: Rfam by way of RNAcentral
AAGACUAUACUUUCAGGGCUCAUUUCUAUAGUGUGUUACUAAAAUAUGCUGCAGAAUUUUAAGUGUAGACAAAGACACUUGCUGAAGU